UCUGUGAUUAUAAAUGACCGUUCAAACUUGAAAAAAGUGCUGCGCCGAGUGUAUAUAAUACCACCUAAACUAGACCCAUUAUCACCAUUUUGGAAACCGCUAAGAAAAGACGAGAUGGACAUCAAAGACGGUGUGUCUGUAUUUUAACUUUACUGUGUUAUUUUGUAAUGGUUAAAAUCCGAUAUUAACAGCCUUCAUACCGACUAUCUUUGCAGAAGCUGUUGUCCCUGGGGCUCACGAUGUCUAUAUCGAGACUGAUUCAAGAAAUGAAAUUUAUAUUCAAAUAGAUUCAUCGAACCAUGAUGUUAUUGAUGAUAAUGAUGAUACGGAUGAAAAUCCUUUACAGAACGAAACAGUUUCUCAAAGGGAUU
Molecule: long non-coding RNA, 371 nt
Organism: Polypterus senegalus (gray bichir)
Lineage: Eukaryota; Metazoa; Chordata; Cladistia; Polypteriformes; Polypteridae
Exons: 4
Source: RefSeq, a predicted model, not a curated record